UACGUAGGGUCCGAGCGUUGUCCGGAAUUACUGGGCGUAAAGAGCUCGUAGGUGGUUUGUCGCGUUGUUCGUGAAAACUCACAACUCAAUUGUGGGCGUGCGGGCGAUACGGGCAGACUGGAGUACUGCAGGGGAGACUGGAGUUCCUGGUGUAGCGGUGGAAUGCGCAGAUAUCAGGAGGAACACCGGUGGCGAAGGCGGGUCUCUGGGCAGUAACUGACGCUGAGGAGCGAAAGCGUGGGGGAGCGAACAGG
RNAcentral lists this ribosomal RNA (254 nucleotides) under uncultured bacterium. RNAcentral describes it as "partial 16S ribosomal RNA". It matches the Rfam family "Bacterial small subunit ribosomal RNA", at positions 524 to 776 of the family's 1533-position model. The record is from RNAcentral.